Molecule: long non-coding RNA, 708 nt
Filed under: Pelusios castaneus (West African mud turtle)
Lineage: Eukaryota; Metazoa; Chordata; Testudines; Pelomedusidae
Description: lncRNA (ENSPCEG00000016837.1)
Source: RNAcentral
GUUGGCUGCAGGCUUGGGCUGCGCCGGGCGGGCGGGGAGCCGCUGGCCCUGUGUGUCUGCGGGGAGCGCGGAGCGCAUGAGGUAGGUGAGAGCCCUGAGAGUCUGAGCAAGGCAGCAUGGCAAAAGCCAGUACAGCACCGUGGAUGUCUCAGAACAGGGAAGGGAGUAGGUUGCAGAGUGGUGGAAAGGCUGGCAAGCCUGAGGUCCAGGAAAAGCAGGGAACGAGUUUAUAGCUGCAGGAAACACAGGAGACUCAAACGAGUUCGGAAUGAUUGUUCCAGUGCGAGGAGGAAAUGAGAUCCACUUCUGAAAGAUAGGAAGGGUCAAGGUUGGAGGCCGAGAAGCUGAUGCCAGGCUGUUUCCAAAAAAAGAGGAAAUGACUCCACUGUGAAACCUCCACCCGGUACAUGAAGGCUCAAGAGAAGAUUAUGUCUGAAGCUGACCCAGUAACCGAUUCCUGCAAGGUCUGCUCAGUACAUCCCCUCUAAGCUGGCGGGUGCUGCUCACAGGAUUACAGCGUCCUAUCCUGCUUCCUCACAGCCAUUCCCCAUGAAGCUCCUUCACAGAAACCGAAAAAACAGGAGAACUGAGGCUGCAGCAAGAUACACCACAAAACACUGUCUCCAUUGCCUUUGUUUUUGUACCUAUGUUGCUCUGGUUCAGUACUGCAGCUAGCCUGCGUCUUUGCAUAAUAAAGUAGAGCUGGAG